RNAcentral lists this long non-coding RNA (1601 nucleotides) under Manihot esculenta (cassava). RNAcentral describes it as "long non-coding RNA (MESC_LNC001878)". The record is from RNAcentral. Lineage: Eukaryota; Viridiplantae; Streptophyta; Magnoliopsida; Malpighiales; Euphorbiaceae.
GGGCAUAACCUGUGCAUGCACUAUCUCAGUACCCUGUACUCUGUAUCCCUGACUAGAGCUUGCUCUAGAUGGGUUGUAUCAUACCUGUUACGCCUGGUUUUUCACAUACUUUGUAAAAACAUAUACAUAUACAGAUCAUGUACACAACAAAAGAUUCACAACACAAACCACUAAGUCAAGCACAUAUCUAACUGAUUAUACAACAAGCACAGCUCUUUAAUAUUACAUGUCCACUCUAAGCUAUUACAAGUCUCUUCUCUUUUUCUGACCUCUUCGAACAUCCCCUGUACACUGUACACUGAACCUGCAAGACUGGGGUUACGGGAGUGGGAUGAGCUCUAUAGCCCAGUGAGUAGAACAAUAAAAUAAGUCAUUAAAAUAUGAUCUGAUGGAAUGCAUCAUAACACAGACAAUCCACAUCAAGGGUAAACCCGUCACCACAUAGUCCCAGUAAACCGUGCCAGGCCGUAGACUGGGGUCCUGGUCUUCCUGUACCAUAUAUGUAUAUAUGUAUAUAACACCUGUACUUACCAUUUGCCAGUAUAGAUCAUUUACCUAUACCCGCCAGGCCGUAGAAUGGGGUCCUGGACUUCCUAUACCUGCCAGGCCGUAGAAUGGGGUCCUGGACUUCCUGUCUGGAAUCACUGGAUCAUUCAGCAUUUACCCACACCAACAAUAAAGCUAUGCAAUGCAACAUCUUUGUGGAUUCUAAUGCAAUCAACCUAUUGCAUAAAUAUGAUGCAUGAAAUAUGCUAAAAGCAGUUAAUGUCUCAAUUAAAACGAGUAUCAGUUUAGUUUCACUCACCUCUGGCUCUGGACUGACUCUGCAGGUUCUGUAAACACUGGAGCAGUACUCACUGCUGCUCUCUUUGGUUCCUCUGGUCUGUGUAAGCACAUAAAGACUCAAAUGAGGGACCAAACUAACUUAAGAAUAACUCUAUGAAACUCCCCAAGAAUCCCCUUAAACUCACUCUAACUUCCAAACAAAGCAUGCAAAAGAAAAGCUGAACAGGACACUCUACCCAACAAAACCUCUGUAAAAAAUAAAAAACAUGUUCAAGAUCUUCACUUACCUCCUGUAAACAAGAAGAUGAACGAUCUGAACAAAGAGAAAUGGCUCAACUCCUCUUCAAAAUCAUAAAACCUCAAAACUAAGCUUUUUGCUUCAAACCUUCAAACCCUUUGAACAAAACAACAAAAACUCUGCAUGAGCUGCUAAAAAGUUUGCAGAUGAGUCAUGGGAGACGUGGCCACUCUUCUGGACAGGGUUUGGAGAUAACACUUGUCCAAAAUGCUAACUAAGGAAUGCACAAGAGCUGGCUGGCCAACUCAGCUUCGGCUGCCGAAUCGCAUGCAAAACCAUGCAAUAUUCGGGGGCCGAAUCUGAGCUUCGGAAGCCGAACAUUGGGCACUUUCGGCGGCCAAACUUACCUUCGGCGGCCGAACUUGGCAAAAGUCCCCAUAGACUUUUCUCUUCAAACACAGAUCAUUUCAACUUGAAAACCUUAAAACAAAACAUAACACUUAAGAAGACAUAAAUCCUACCCUUCUAGAAUUCCAACACCCCAGAUUCCACCAGACGACAGGAAUUCCGGUGUCGG